GAUGAACGCUAGCGGGAGGCUUAACACAUGCAAGUCGAAGGGCAGCACGUCUUCGGAUGGUGGCGACUGGCGAACGGGUGCGUAACGCGUAUGCAACCUACCCUCAACAGGGGAAUAGCCCAGAGAAAUUUGGAUUAAUACCCCAUAGUAUUACAGAUUCGCAUGUUUCUGUGAUUAAAGUUCCAACGGUUGAGGAUGGGCAUGCGUGACAUUAGCUUGUUGGUGAGGUAACGGCUCACCAAGGCAACGAUGUCUAGGGGUUCUGAGAGGAUGAUCCCCCACACUGGUACUGAGACACGGACCAGACUCCUACGGGAGGCAGCAGUGAGGAAUAUUGGACAAUGGAGGCAACUCUGAUCCAGCCAUCCCGCGUGCAGGAAGAAGGCCCUAUGGGUUGUAAACUGCUUUUAUACAGGAAUAAACCCCUNUACGUGUAGAGGGCUGAAGGUACUGUAAGAAUAAGCACCGGCUAACUCCGUGCCAGCAGCCGACGG
RNAcentral lists this ribosomal RNA (494 nucleotides) under uncultured bacterium. RNAcentral describes it as "bacterial SSU rRNA". It matches the Rfam family "Bacterial small subunit ribosomal RNA", at positions 28 to 520 of the family's 1533-position model. The record is from RNAcentral.